This 387-nucleotide ribosomal RNA is filed under the name uncultured bacterium. Its description in RNAcentral is "bacterial SSU rRNA". It matches the Rfam family "Bacterial small subunit ribosomal RNA", at positions 30 to 416 of the family's 1533-position model. The record is from RNAcentral.
AUUGAACGCUGGCGGCAUGCCUUACACAUGCAAGUCGAACGGUAACAGGGAGCUUGCUCCGCUGACGAGUGGCGAACGGGUGAGUAAUGUAUCGGAACGUACCUUUCAGUGGGGAGUAACGUAGCGAAAGUUACGCUAAUACCGCAUAUUCUGUGAGCAGGAAAGCAGGGGAGUCGCAAGACCUUGCGCUGAUUGAGCGGCCGAUAUCAGAUUAGCUAGUUGGUGAGGUAAAGGCUCACCAAGGCGACGAUCUGUAGCGGGUCUGAGAGGAUGAUCCGCCACACUGGAACUGAGACACGGUCCAGACUCCUACGGGAGGCAGCAGUGGGGAAUUUUGGACAAUGGGGGCAACCCUGAUCCAGCCAUGCCGCGUGAGUGAAGAAGGCC